GAUGAACGCUGGCGGCGUGCCUAAUACAUGCAAGUCGAGCGAACAGACGAGGAGCUUUCUCCUCUGACGUUAGCGGCGGACAGGUGAGUAACACGUGGAUAACCUACCUAUAUGACUGGGAUAACUUCGGGAAACCGGAGCUAAUACAGGAUAAUCUAUUCAACCGCAGGGUCCAAUAGUGAAAGACGGUUUUGCUGUUACUUAUAGAUGGAUCCGCGCCGCAUUAGCUAGUUGGUAAGGUAACGGCUUACCAAGGCGACGAUGGGUAGCCGACCUGGGAGGUUGACCGGCCACACUGGACCUGAGACACGGUCCAGACUCCUAGGGGAGGCAGCAGUGGGGAAUCUUCCGCAAUGGGCGAAAGCCUGACGGAGCAACGCCGCGUGAGUGAUGAGGGUCUUCGGAUCGUAAAACUCUGUUAUUAGGGAAGAACAAAUGUGUAAGUAACUAUGCACGUCUUGACGGUACCUAAUCAGAAAGCCACGGCUAACUACGUG
RNAcentral lists this ribosomal RNA (497 nucleotides) under uncultured bacterium. RNAcentral describes it as "partial 16S ribosomal RNA". It matches the Rfam family "Bacterial small subunit ribosomal RNA", at positions 28 to 507 of the family's 1533-position model. The record is from RNAcentral.